Molecule: ribosomal RNA, 329 nt
Filed under: uncultured eukaryote
Lineage: Eukaryota
Description: partial 18S ribosomal RNA
Rfam family: Eukaryotic small subunit ribosomal RNA
Source: RNAcentral
CCCUUAGAUGUCCUGGGCUGCACGCGCGCUACACUGACGAACUCAAAGAGCUUAUCACCUUGGCAGAGAUGUCUGGGUAAUCUUUUGAAAGUUCGUCGUGCUGGGGAUAGAUGAUUGUAAUUAUUCGUCUUGAACGAGGAAUUCCUAGUAAGUGUGAGUCAUCAGCUCGCGCUGAUUACGUCCCUGCCCUUUGUACACACCGCCCGUCGCUCCUACCGAUUGAAUGGUCCGGUGAGGUUCUCGGAUUUUUUCUGUUGUUUGGUUCGCUAAACGAUUGAAGAGAGAAGUUACCCAAACCUUACCAUUUAGAGGAAGGAGAAGUCGUAACA